Rhagoletis zephyria (snowberry fruit fly) is the source of this 801-nucleotide long non-coding RNA. RefSeq lists it as uncharacterized. The record is from RefSeq and is a predicted model, not a curated record. Lineage: Eukaryota; Metazoa; Arthropoda; Insecta; Diptera; Tephritidae.
UGCACUGUUACAGUAAUUCUGAUUGUAUUGCUGGUCAGUUGCCGCGGCUAUUCUUGUUGCUCAACCUUUUCUGUGGUCCCCGAACCCCUUCUGCUGCUGUCAUAGCUCCAAGUUAUUCACACUUGCUUAACAGCCAGUCGAUCGCUAAGCUGCUUCGACGCCUCGUCGAUCAUUUGGUUCGACAAGAAUAGCCAAAGUGUUAACUACACUCGAUCAGAGCGGUUGGAUGUUCAAUUUUUCGCUCGCUUUUCGAUUUAUAAUAAGGACAAUAAAUAAACACGCUCGCUUUGCGCUAAACAAUUGAAACGCGAUCGGGAAUGUAAAUUGAAAUUAGGAAGAAAAAAACGAUUUUUAUGUUUGAAAUCUUGCAUAGUAUAGUGAUUUAGUUAAAAAUUUUUUUCGCCAUUUUUCUGCGGAAUAAACGGACAUAUGCGCGUACUACUGCUGCCGAAAACAAAAGUUGUUACUUUCGUUCAUAUCAGAGUUGUUAGUCAAGUUGUAGUGUAAUGAGGUGAAUUCUUCUUAUGCGAAGCAUCCUCCACGUGAAUCUUACUACUCUGAUGGCUUCUCACUUUCAGUAAGAACUGGUUUCAGAUUUUCACAAUGAGAAUCUUAAACUGUAAAUACUCCUGGCGCAAUAGCUGCAUGCAGCAUAAUUCCCUGCGACUGCAACGGCAUUGCAGUUUGCAAUACGAUAUUACCAAAUACUAGCUUCCCUUGCAAAAGUUGAUCGUUCGCUGGCUUGUGCUAGCAAAAAGAAAAAAAAAACUUGUUUUUUCCUUAUUAUACGUGAGUGUGUGC